CUCCCUCCCUCCCUCCCCCUCCUCGACUCCCCCUCCUGGGCUGAACCUACCGACUCCGCCGUUACUUUCCACCUGAACAACACUGCCUCUGCGACCAGCUGCCCCUCCCUCCUCCUCCCUUCACCCUGGGGGUCCAGCCAUGGUGGGGACCAGGUUAAGACUGUCUGUGUGUGACUGUCUCACCCUGGGGGGUCCAGCCAUGGCGGGGACCAGGGGUGAGGCCGUGUGUGUGUCUGUGUGUGACUCUUUCAGCCUGGGCACGGGUUCAACCAAAACCCUAACUGAAACCGGACCGGUUCCUCGCAGUGGGAAGGUCCUGGGAGCGAGUGGCAGUUGUAGCGGCGUACAGUAGCUGUCCUACUGUGUUUGACCCAACGUUAGUUUUCCGUUGGGCGGACGAUUCCGUAUUGAAUGUACAUUAAUACGGGCCGCGAUAUCUUAGGGUGCAGCACCGCUAUUUGUAAAAUAAAUAUUAAUUUCAGUUGAUAUUAUUUUUAAAAACUCACCACCAGGUGCGAGUGUGAUUAGCCGUCACAAGCCGUUUAAACAAGCCCUGCCCCGUGACUAAGUGACAUCACAACUGGGCGUGUCCCCCCAGAUGCAUGCUGGGUAGAUGAAUCAACCAGCCUACCCAGUGGACUGUAGCAACUGGUAGACGUUUUCAGCACUCGUACCAACAACUGGUGGUAAAAUAGAUUAACAUCUAGGAUCAGGUUGUUCCUGCAUCAGCACUGAUGAGUAUUGAUUGAUCAAUAAACCGUACAGCGGACCUUAGUAUCUAGAAUUGUAGUCUGGGGUAGGACUCAGCGAGCUUUAGCUAUGUUGUGGUGAUUGAUGAACAUUGACACAUAUCUGCUCCAUACAAUUUCUGCAGGAGUGAAGUUUUUUCAGCGAUGAUGAUGAUGAUUGUGUGUGUGUGUGUGUGUGUGUGUGUGUGUGUGUGUGUGUUUCAUUUCUCUUUUGUGUGCAUGAACACGAACCAUCAGUUACUCUAAUCAAACUAGUCAUUCAUUAAUAGAGGAUUAUGUUUAAUCCACACAACCUAUACGGAAUGAUCCUACACUACGUUGCUUUGGAUACUGCUACUGCUGAAUAUCAUUUAAAUAUGUUUGAUUCAUUCAUUUAGAUGCUAUUCAGUGUCGCCUUGUUGAUUUAACAUUACUGUCAAAUGUCCUUGUUCACAGUGAAAUGUUUCUUUGUGUUGAGACGAGGUAAUUGGGCAUUGAAUAGUUUUGAUAUAAGGUUGUGAGAUUGUACGGAGCCAUGACUUAAGCUCAGUCAAGGUAGACCUCUGUUUAAUUUGUAGUGUGGUUACACUUCUCUGCAUAUGAUGUUGUUUUCUAAUCUGUAGCACAUUUUCUUAUCAUUUCAUUUGGUUUUAGCGUUUUUUAUCAAAGAUGAAGUUGUAGCAUUUUGUAUUUCUCUCUCUCUCCUUUCCCUCUCCCUCCCCCCCCCCCCCUCUCUCUCUCUCUCUCUCUCUCUCUCUCUCUCUCUCUCUCUCUCUCUCUCUCUCUCUCUCUCUCUCUCAGUGGUGGUGAUCCACUAGCUGUGGGAUGAGGCAUGGCUCUGCUUUCUGUGAGUGCCUUUCUAAUCAGCGUCGAUGUGUCUCUGUAAUGGUUCAGUCCAUUGGUGUGCCACAACCAGUGCCAAUAAUCAGAGUGACCAAGUCGACACUGAUGUGAAUCACUGCGUUCACGCUCAGUGUGGAUGUGUCAAUCAAUGUGCAUGAGAUACCUUAGAUCAAAAUGGACAGCUGUCAUAUUUACAAUUCAUGUAUUGUACUUGAAAAUGACCAAAAAAUGUACCUGGCCAUGUCGAGGUGUAUAUUAAUUUUUUUUCUCUGUCUGUAACUCUCUCUUUCUUAAAUGUCCGUAAGAUUGUACUUCCUUGCUGUUUGCUGUACAUUGAUAGAAAUAUAUUUGUUAAUACUGGAUUAAAUACUGAAUUUAACAUUCAA
Molecule: long non-coding RNA, 1957 nt
Organism: Gadus macrocephalus (Pacific cod)
Lineage: Eukaryota; Metazoa; Chordata; Actinopteri; Gadiformes; Gadidae
Exons: 2
Source: RefSeq, a predicted model, not a curated record